Bombus impatiens (common eastern bumble bee) is the source of this 888-nucleotide long non-coding RNA. RefSeq lists it as uncharacterized. Lineage: Eukaryota; Metazoa; Arthropoda; Insecta; Hymenoptera; Apidae. The record is from RefSeq and is a predicted model, not a curated record. The transcript has 3 exons.
UAUCUUGAAACAAUUUCCAGGACGCAAUCCUGCUUUUUCUUCGCACGUUUCGGACUCGACAAAGGAGCUCCUGAGCUAAAAACUAAUGUCGAGUCACACUCGACAUAGGAGUGCAAGCGUUGAUACAAAGCACACGUGACAACAAAUGCACGCACGUAGCCUAACAAUCAUGCACAUCGGAUACCCGUGAAAGUGCAAGUUACAAACUCAAAAGAAGAACGAAGAAAGUGGAACAGGGGCUCGAGCAGAGAAGAAAAGAUCCAUCGAGCCAUGUGGCAGGCGCAAACGCUCCCACACCGGAGGCAGUAACGAGCCAUCAAGUCUCCCGGUAAUCGAAUGCCAACUGCGGUCUUGUGUUUGCUCUAACGCCUUCGCGAGAAACAUGAAGCUAACUAAUCGCUAUCUACGCUUACGUGUCUCUGAGGAAAUACUACUUUCACUUCUAAAUUUACACAUAUAUGUCGUCCAAUUGACAUUCGUUGCUCGUUUUUCUGUAUUUUAAUCGAAUUUAGGGGCUUUUUCCACGGAACGGCUAGAAUCUGGCCGAGAAACGUUAAGACCGAUUUUAAUCAUAAAUGUGAUAAUAUUUUUCGGACAUUUCGAAUAUACAACUGUGGAUAAAAUUAUUUACUAAAUUAUUGAGAGUAGAUACGUAAUAUUGCUAAAAAUUGCGGACUCAAAGUGGUGUAAGUUAAUAUAUUGUUACUGUCUAUAAAACGAUGCUCUACGUUUAUUGUCAUAAAAAUUCGUUCUAUUUUCCAAGUCAUGAAGACGUAUUGUAACAGAGGAUGAAGUUAUAACUUAAUGAAUUACGAAACUAAAUGGAUGAUAUCUGUAAGAGUUGUGAUACGUAAUUAAAUUAAAGUUUAUUAAAUUUUCUCUUCCAUC